GUGAAACCAUGACCGUACACAUGUUGGGUUUUGAGCAUUCUAACACUCCUAAGUGUACAUGCAACCCUAAAUACCUUGGAUCUAUGUUUUCUCUAUUAUACAUGCAAAUAAGAACUUCCAAGGUAUUAUCCUAAUCUAGCAUACAAAACAAUAACUAUAGCAAGAUAGAAUACAUACCUCUUUGAUGUAGAAAGUCUUCAUGAAGCUUGAGUGCCUAGUGCCCCAAGUGUGACACCUCAAAUGGAAUCACAAUCAUCAAAACACUUAGAAUAACUUGAGAGAAUUCUUACAACUCAUGAAAUCGGCUAGCCCUCUCUAGAAUAAUACUAGUGGCCGAUUUUUCCUCAAUAAUAAGAUGCUUAUAUAGUUAGGGUUACACCAUGUAAACCCUAAUUGACAUGGCCUUUCAUUUCCAUGAUCCAUGGGUACAAAUACACCAUGGAGCAUCCAUGGACCAUCCUAUGGGUUUUAGCCCAACUUGAUUAUCCAUGGAGCAUUAGCCCACUAUACAAGUAUGGAUGAUUUACACAAUCAACCCAUAUAUUUAAUUAGUCUUCUUUUGAUCACUUAAUUAAUCCUAGAUUAAUUCUUGAUCAAUACUAAUUAAAUAAUCUUAUUAUUCUUAUUAUUAAUAUACUAGAACUUAUAAUAUAUUAAUAACCAUAAGUGUCUUAUUUCUCUCAUUAUAGUCUAUCCAAGUGCAUGAUGGUAUGCAACCCAAAUGGACCAUGCCGGGUCGGGUCAAGUCUUACCAAUUAUAGUUAUGGACUUAGACAUUAAUCCAACAGUCUCCCACUUGGAUAAGUCUAAAACUAUUAUUGCGUAUGACUUCAGGAACCAACUGGCAAUCGUAGCUCUCAAAAGCUUCUGUCGAACUCUGACCUUGUAGAUGAACUCUGACCUUUGUCAAUGACUUGUCCAUUAGAUAAGGGAUCAUAUAUUCCUCCAUUCUAGAUAUCAUAUGGACUGAGACAUGGAUUAUAAUCAUUCUCUCUGUCCAUUUGUUGUUUCCCGAUUUCCGAUUUAUGACGACUGACUAAUUGAACAAAUCAAAUCAGUCCUGGCCCGGCCGAGCACUUCCAUUUGUCAUCAUCAAAUCAUCGAGGGGCCCACAGAUAUCGCUUUUAUCCCGAAGGUAAAAGGAAUGGAUAAACUUCGACUCAUAUGGCUUGUUCUACUACUUGUUGAAUCAUACACAAAGGCACGUUUUAUAGCACCGAGUUACCAAAUGCGUUUUCGUGCAAUCAAUGUACUAUCAACUCAUAGUAACAACUCAUAUCUCUAGGUUUGAAGAAUAUAAGAUAUUAUCGUCUCAUGAUCACUCGUGAUAAAAUCCAUGAAGUGAUUCCAAUGAGCGCGGGUUGAAUCCAAUACUCAGAACUUAUGAGCACUCAUGAGUGUUGUAGCCCUUUGUCCAACACCUUAGACCUCUACAAGCCAACCCAUGACAGUCUUAAUUCAUAUCUACUUCCAACAUAUGACCGACUGUGGAUGGUUUGAAUAACUUAGUCAUUCCGGAAGAAUAACCCAGUUUAUUCGGGAAGUCAAAACAUGCAAAAUGAAACACAAUAAUAAUUGAAUCCAAUAUGGUAUCAACCCUUUGAACAUAAAUAAAACACCUUUUAUUUAUCACCAUAUGAUUACACAUUAUUCAUUGUAUACUGUUUCAGCUAUCAACUUUAUUCUUGAAUUUAAAACAAUAGUUGUCCCAUGCUCCAAGCAUGUACACUAUGUUUUCUUAAACACUAGUCAUGCCACACACCAAGUAUGCAUACUAUGUUUGUCUAUGAUCUUUACUUUGUGAACUAGAUCAAUUGAACAUAACUUCAAUGAUUCUCUUUUCACACUCCCAAAUCCUUACUGCAAAUGCAAGAAUUCCAAAUUCAUGCCAUUUACUGAAAUCUGUUAGAUUCUAAACUUAUAUGCAUUGAUCCUCUUGUAAUGAUUAUGCACAAAGUCACAAAGACUUGGCAACAAUCAUUACAGAGUAUUCCAAAGGAGAUCAACUCCUUGGAAAUAUCCUUCUUGCAUUAAGUUUCCUUAAUCUUACACAGAUUGAAAAUUCUAACUUUGAAACAUUUCCAGAUUCCAUUUUGACUAUCACUUCUGAACAAGAGUUGCCUCCUUACAGAUUAUGUCAAUAUGGUCCUUCCAGAAUUAUCACUAUACUUCCAAUUGUCCUUGAGUAACCAAUCUUUGGUAAACCUUAGAUUGUCCUCGACAAUUGUUUAAUCCUUUUAGUCAUAUCCAGUUCUAAACCUUUUCCCUUCUUAAUGCCCCAGGCAUUUGGAAAAUUUUAGAACGGAUGAAUAUAGCACAUGUAAUCGAUCCUAUAUCCGAAGCAUAUGGGACACGAUUCAUGAUGUCUUACAUAAAGACUAAACCAGUCUUUUGCUAUAAUAUUUCCAUUUCAAUUUGCCAAGUUCUCAUAAUUCAGAUUAUGAAAAGGGAUGCCGUAAUCAUAAUCGAAUUUUAGAACGCAAAUAAUGGACCCAUAUACAGAAUUUCCUUAUGUUGAGCCAUUCCAACAUGAAAUUCAUAUAUAUCCUUGACUAAAUGAUUAAAACCUCACGAUCUAAGCUUAUAGAUUUGAGAUGAAGCAUAAUUUCCUCUCCCUUAAUUAUAGCAAAACAACUUUUUCCCAAUUGAAACUUUUGUUUUCUAUAAUUAACAUUGCUAACUUGCAAUACUUAUCAUAAUUAUCAUGCUCCCACUAACAUGAUGAUUAUUAGCAUAACACUUAUGCUCCCACUAGCUUUGACAUGUACUCAGAAAUCAGCUGGACAGUCUGAAAUUUAGAUUCAUACACCCUUUCCGUAGAUAGCUCACCUGUGUGUCUAAGCAAUUUCAAGAACCAUGAAAAGGGAUACCGUAAUCAUGGUCUCAAUUGCUUAGGCAUUUGCCAUUUCUCACAAGUCCAUGUUAGUGUGCCGGUUAACCACACGCGCUCCACUAACGACUUUUGAAAAUGCAAAUAACACAAUUGAUAUCUUCGUAAAAUCUACUUAGUGAAAGCGUUUCCUCACCAUCAUUUUCAUGAAUCGGAGAGAAACCUUAUGACACUUAGAUUUAUAUGGUGUAUGAGUUCCUACCCAUAUGAAUUUGUCAAACCAUAAUCACAAGACAAAGAUAAUGACAAAUCCAAAACCAUAUGGAUUGAACUCAAUCUUAACUUCUUGCCACCUGGCAGCUCAAGGGCCUGCCAUUGCUUCCAAGUUGUUAUGCAACAAACUGAGAACUCUAAGAACUCAUAUGCAAAGCCAACUUUAACUGGAAUGGGCACAGAUAUGUCAACACGAUAGGUUAUAAACCUCAAGUCGUGUGCUAGUGAAGAACUUUAGGUUUUAUUCUUGAUUAUUUCUUGAGACUUUCAAGACCUUUAAGACUCCCACUGUCCUCUUGACAUAUAAGACUCCCUUGUCAAACAUCCAAGAGAUAGUGCGGAUUCUAAUCAAGAAAAACACUUUACCCAAUUGGCCUAAGUUGGUCUUUGUUUUAUCCAAAACAUCACAACUUACCAAUUUCAAAUGUACAAGAGUAGAAAACUUUUACUCUUACAUUUGACAAGUGUUUUAAACCUUCUUUAAGACAUGUCACUCAAAUGACAAUCUUGGAGUAUGACUCUAAGACUUGUAUUGGAACGAAGUAUGACUCAUCUUCUUGAUUUAACCAUUUCAACAAUUCAAGUUCCUCUUCUUAGUCAUAAGAAUGCACUAAGAUUUCCUUAGAGAACUAAUUUUGAUAUGGUUUCUUAAUCAUUAAGAUGAUCACAAAACUGAUACUAAAGUACUCUCCCAUCUUUUCAGAUUUGAGAAACUUUUAUCCUUCUGCCUUAUUUGAUUCUUCUUAUCGAUCUUUAGUGGUGGACUUAAUCAGUGCACAAGAAUGUGUACUCGAUCCCUAAGUCCUUUACUUGACUCACACAUCCAUGUGAACAAGUAAUUAGUCUUAAUUUUCCAAAACUUGAAAGUUCUCAUUCAUCAUGCUAUACAACUUGCAUGAUUCCAAGUUCCGGUCCAAUUGAAACUUGGGUGAUGAGAAUCUUUCCUUAUUUGGUAAAUUUAGACAUUACCACAAAUGAAAGAAUCAAUUUCAUAUUUCCACUCUUGCUCUUAAUGGAAUCAUAUAAGCAACAAUUUUUCCUCAAAUGCCAUUGUAAGGAUAUUUUAAAAUAAAUAAAAUCAAAAAAAUUUUCUUUUAUUUUAAAACUUUGCGGAAAAACUUAUCCUUACAAUCCAUAUGAAAACUUGUUGUUAUCUAUUCCUAAGCAAUAUCUCAUAACUCCUAAGAAGUAGCUCAAGAAUCCGAUCUUCAAACUAUGCGAUAGAAAUCCAUCUACGCCAUCAGAUUCAGCAUAUUCUUUCUUUAAGUUUCUUCACUUUUCUUUGAUUCUUAAAACAUCACCAUGUGACCCAGUCACAUCAUGUAUCAAGAAUCUCAGAAUAGAAACUUAACAGAGUUAGAUAGUGGACUUUACCUGAAGUAGAGUCAAACUUAUUGACUUUAACAUCCUUAGGUAAAUUUGGCAGCUUCGCAACCAAUGCCCCUUCCUUUGGCAAUAUAAACAUAUGGACCCUUUGAUAAUGGUACACGGGACUAUCACAGACUUAGCUUUUCUCUUUACCAUUUGGUCAACCGAGUUGACUAUGGCCGAUCCCUUUCCAUUGGGAAGAGAAUGCUUUACUGGAUAUCCAAUGUCAUCAUUGUCAAUGUCCAUAAAGUUUUAGGAAGUUGAUCUUAGCAAAUAGAUAAGAUCAUUAAGGGUCUUGUCAUAGUCUGUUUCAUAGGUGUCCCAAAGGAACUCACUAUGUGACUUAGAAAGUGGUUGAACCACCAACUUUCUCAAGACUUUGACACCCAACUCUCCCGGCUUGUCAAUAUGUGACUACAUCUCCAAGAUGUGACCACACCUAGACCUUGCCUUGCCAAUAGGGCCUGAGUGACCUUAAACUUUUCAAGAACUUGUGGGUUAGGGAGAAUAAUUUGAAGAGGUGAAGAAGUAUGAUAUCCAUGGGACAUCAUCUUCAUUAGGAAACCUUGUUUCAAGAGAUUUGGGAAGAUCAUAGGUGUCUAAACCAGACAUCUUUUGGGAGAUAUUCAAGAUAGUUGAUUUAAAGUCCUUAAUAUGACACCCAAUAUGAAAUAUUAAGGCUAGGACCCAACAAACUAUUUUAUAACUUAGAAGAGGUAUGCCGUAAUCCAAGCUAUAAAAUAUUUGAAGGUAGGUGAAUGACGAUUCACCAAUUUCCACCAAGAUAAACGAAAUGUAUUAUUAGGUUUUAAUUGGUUUUGAAACUCCUAGAUCUUUGAGAUUCAUUGAACUUUUCAAAGGCAUGUUUCAAUCUCGAGUGUGCCCUUCAGGUUUUGUGACUGGGAUGCCGAGGAUCACAAAACAAGGUGUGAAGUAACCAUGCAAAUCACUUGGUACCCUUAAUAAAUUACCCCUCAAUCGAUGUGCCGGUUAACCACACACGCUCCAUCGAUACUAUGAUAAAUAUUAAGUCACCCUUUACCUACCUUGUUAAGUCCAAGUUAGUGUGCCGGUUAACCACACACGCUCCACUAACGACUUAGACAAAGUGUAAAGUGUAAUUUCAUGGAUUAGCACCUUAUUCACAUUUUUCCUAAGUAACUAAGAUUGGGUAUUAUUAAGAGUUUAGUUACUUAGUAUUAUCAUUAAUACUUUUAAUGAAGGGAGAAUUCUAGUCCUGUCAAACCCGUUCGGCUAACGACCCUCCACCAGUCAAGCAAGCGGUGGGUGAGAGUGGACACCCAUUAAGUUGCCAUUUUAUAGGCAACAACCUUAUACCCACCUUAUAGACCGGCUUCGUGAAUGAGGCGUACUAGCGGUAAGACUGACUUUACUCUUAUACAUAUAUAUAUUAUUAACUUAUAAUAUUAUAAAGUAUAAGGGUUGAAUUUUAACUUUUAAAAUUCUAAGGGCUAACUUGGAAUUAAAGUAUUCAUACUUGAAAACUUUUCAAAUUCCAAAACUUGAGGGCAAGUUUUGAAACUAUUCAAAACUAAUUAAUUCCAUAACUUAUGUGUUUAAAGUAGUUUUAAUCCAAAAACUCUUCAAGUUCCAUAACUUGAGGACAAGUUAUGGAAGACUUUAAACUAAUAAAAGAACUAACUUUUUCUUUAUUUUAUAACUUAUGGAUUUAAUUAUGGUUACAUAUUUUUCUUUAAUGAAGUGACUCUUGAACUUCCAUAACUUGAGGACAAGUUAUGGAGUCAUAAAAAGUUAUUCAAUGACACAAGACUCUUCAUUUUGUAACCAUUGCCAACUUUUAUGAGUUUUAUGAGUCUUUAAUGUGACUCUUCAUGUAACUUGAGGACAAGUUACACAAACACAUUUUAUACUCAACUCUUAGAUUAAAAUGGAUUGAAAACAACUAUUUCACUCAACAUUUCUAUUAAUCUAAGCAACUCAUAAGAACAAGAUAAUUCAAAUCAAACUUUUUCAUGUAAUUAGUCUAAACCUUAAACUAAUACAAAACAUGAAUCUAUUGACAAUUAUCUUUGAAAAUGGAUUAGCAUGAACAUUACCACAUCAAAAACAAGUUUAUAAGUUCAAAAACAACUUAGGGUAAUGUUCCUAGUCCAUUUCUAGCCAAAAAACUCGAAAAUAUGCUGUCUGGGGGUCCAACUCGUCGAGUGCAUGAACCAACUCGGCGAGUUGGAUCGAAUUCAUCACUUUUUAGGCAUGGACUCGUCGAGUCUCCUGAUGGACUCGCCGAGUCUGAUGGCCAGACAGCACCAGAUUCGUUUUUUCAGCUUCUAUUGCAGGUAUAACAAGAAAACAAGCCUAGGCUCUGAUACCACUGUUGGGUUUUGAGCAUUCUAACACUCCUAAGUGUACAUGCAACCCUAAAUACCUUGGAUCUAUGUUUUCUCUAUUAUACAUGCAAAUAAGAACUUCCAAGGUAUUAUCCUAAUCUAGCAUACAAAACAAUAACUAUAGCAAGAUAGAAUACAUACCUCUUUGAUGUAGAAAGUCUUCAUGAAGCUUGAGUGCCUAGUGCCCCAAGUGUGACACCUCAAAUGGAAUCACAAUCAUCAAAACACUUAGAAUAACUUGAGAGAAUUCUUACAACUCAUGAAAUCGGCUAGCCCUCUCUAGAAUAAUACUAGUGGCCGAUUUUUCCUCAAUAAUAAGAUGCUUAUAUAGUUAGGGUUACACCAUGUAAACCCUAAUUGACAUGGCCUUUCAUUUCCAUGAUCCAUGGGUACAAAUACACCAUGGAGCAUCCAUGGACCAUCCUAUGGGUUUUAGCCCAACUUGAUUAUCCAUGGAGCAUUAGCCCACUAUACAAGUAUGGAUGAUUUACACAAUCAAC
This 7340-nucleotide long non-coding RNA is filed under the name Lactuca sativa (garden lettuce). Its description in RNAcentral is "long non-coding RNA (LSAT_LNC002597)". Lineage: Eukaryota; Viridiplantae; Streptophyta; Magnoliopsida; Asterales; Asteraceae. The record is from RNAcentral.